AAAUACAACAUUGCAAGGUUUAGUUAACAAAUUUUUAGACACGCCUUUGUGGUGUUUUAAGUACAGUUCGUGUUUAUGUCAAGUGUUUGAAUGGAGGAGCAGACCAUAAACCAACUUGACAACCUGCUGCUUCAGUUAGGUAUAGAGACGCAAGAACUUGCUCAGAGGAAGGAUGACAUCAAACACCAAAUACAAAUUUUGGAGUCCAGCAUUCAGGAGAAGAAAGAUUAUAUUAACACAACCCAGAAGACCAUCAAAAAACUCGAUGAAGAAAUUAAUCAGAAACAGG
This is a non-coding RNA of Paramisgurnus dabryanus, 289 nucleotides long. Lineage: Eukaryota; Metazoa; Chordata; Actinopteri; Cypriniformes; Cobitidae. The record is from RefSeq and is a predicted model, not a curated record.